RNAcentral lists this ribosomal RNA (253 nucleotides) under uncultured bacterium. Its description in RNAcentral is "partial 16S ribosomal RNA". It matches the Rfam family "Bacterial small subunit ribosomal RNA", at positions 524 to 776 of the family's 1533-position model. The record is from RNAcentral.
UACGUAGGGGCAAGCGUUGUCCGGAUUUAUUUGGGCGUAAAGAGCGUGUAGGCGGUUUGGUAGGUCCGCUGUGAAAACUCGAGGCUCAACCUCGAGACGCCGGUGGAAACCAUCAGACUAGAGUCCGGAAGAGGAGAGUGGAAUUCCUGGUGUAGCGGUGAAAUGCGCAGAUAUCAGGAGGAACACCGAUGGCGAAGGCAGGUCUCUGGGCCGAUACUGACGCUGAGGAGCGAAAGCGUGGGGAGCGAACAGG